CAAAUGACUUGCCAAGGCUCCAGGGCAGCGCUGUCCAAUAGACACCUGAUGAGAGCCACGUGUGUCGUUUCUUAUUUGACUCAGUGGCAGAGAUCCUUCAAUCCAGACUUGAAGAAAACCCUUGAGUUAAGCCGUUAGACAUCUAUGCAACUCAUAACUUCCAUCAUUCCAACUUGCAGUGCCUCCAUGAUCACUAUGGAAGAAAAACUAAAGGCAACACACUGCCUUUAUAUGUGCCUUGAAACCACCGCCAGUUCAAAGGUUACUUUUUUCCAACUGUCAGAAUUUAUAACCAACUCACCUUGCAGCCGUUGAAGGAAAGAAGGCUUGAAUAUUUUUGCCAUAAAGUUGACUGGAUGGCAUUCAUUAAGUGAACAUGAAUGAAGAAGUUUCAAUAAUGUUUCGGGUGGAAAAUAAUUGAAAUGAGUGAAUAGCACGUUUUCCAGCUUUCUAAAUAAAGCAGAGGAAUUUGGUGGCAAAUAA
Nomascus leucogenys (northern white-cheeked gibbon) is the source of this 483-nucleotide long non-coding RNA. RefSeq lists it as uncharacterized. The transcript is spliced from 3 exons. Lineage: Eukaryota; Metazoa; Chordata; Mammalia; Primates; Hylobatidae. The record is from RefSeq and is a predicted model, not a curated record.